CACGGGUGCGUAACACGUGGGCAAUCUGACCCUCCGAUGCGGGAAUAAUCCCCGCGAAAGCGGGGCUAAUACCUGCAUAACAUUCCGGGGACUUCGGUUCCUGGACUCAAAGGCGUAAGUCGUCGGAGGUGGAGCCCCGUGCCCGAUUAGCUAGUUGGUGACGGUAACGGCUCACCAAGGCAAUGAUCGGUAGCUGGUCUGAGAGGAUGGCCAGCCACACUGGAACUGAGACACGGUCCAGACUCAUAACGGGAGGCAGCAGUGGGGAAUCUUGCGCAAUGGGCGAAAGCCUGACGCAAGCGACGCCCGCGUGGGGGAUGAAGCAUCUCCGGUUGUUGUAAACCCCUUUUCGACUGGGACGAAUGGCUUCGGCAAGAGGAAGUUGACGGUACCAGUA
This 397-nucleotide ribosomal RNA is filed under the name uncultured bacterium. Its description in RNAcentral is "bacterial SSU rRNA". It matches the Rfam family "Bacterial small subunit ribosomal RNA", at positions 100 to 483 of the family's 1533-position model. The record is from RNAcentral.